GGAGUCAAGCGAGUUGAGGAUGGGAUUCUCGAAUUUCGAGUCGCUGUUUCUGGCGACGUCGUUUUCCGUGACGGCGACGGCGAGGAGGUCGCCUUUCCAUUCGGCGACGUCGAGGUCCUUGGCGGUGAAGGAGAGGUUAGGGGUUUCGGUGGUGGUGGGGUUUGUGAGGCCGAGAGUGGCGUGGGCCAUGAGGUUGCGGAGAGGGGUGGCGGUGGAGGAGAGGCGGAGGAGGGAGGUGGUGGUGGUGGUGGGGGUUAGAGGGAGAGGGAGAGAGUUGAGGAAGAGACGAGAGGGAGAAGUGAGGAGAAGUGAAGUGGUG
Molecule: long non-coding RNA, 319 nt
Filed under: Lotus japonicus
Lineage: Eukaryota; Viridiplantae; Streptophyta; Magnoliopsida; Fabales; Fabaceae
Description: long non-coding RNA (LJAP_LNC002193)
Source: RNAcentral